CAGGAGUCUCCUGGGAGUGCUGGCUGUUCUCUGUCUCCUGGCCACCGUUCUUGAAGUGCUCACCUGGUACCUACCUGCUCCUCGUUACCGACGAGGUGCUUGGAAAUGUGUUUUGUUCUUCUCUCUUUACCACAACUGAGAGGUGUCUUUAGGCACCGUGACCCUGACCACCCCACCACUAUCACCUGCCUCCCUGGCAUCAGGGUGCUGACCAUGUGCUGGAUUCUCGUGUGCCACCAGUACGAGACGUCAAUAACCUUCUCUGUGAACACCUUCGACUUUCUCAGG
This is a non-coding RNA of Cherax quadricarinatus, 288 nucleotides long. The record is from RefSeq and is a predicted model, not a curated record. Lineage: Eukaryota; Metazoa; Arthropoda; Malacostraca; Decapoda; Parastacidae.